UGAGUAACCUGCCCUUAACUCUGGGAUAAGCCUGGGAAACUGGGUCUAAUACCGGAUAUGACUCCUCAUCGCAUGGGUGGGGGGUGGAAAGCUUUAUUGUGGUUUUGGAUGGACUCGCGGCCUAUCAGCUUGUUGGUGAGGUAAUGGCUCACCAAGGCGACGACGGGUAGCCGGCCUGGAGGGGGUGACCCGGCCACACUGGGACUGAGACACGGCCCAGACUCCGUACGGGGAGGCAG
This 239-nucleotide ribosomal RNA is filed under the name uncultured bacterium. RNAcentral's name for it is "partial 16S ribosomal RNA". It matches the Rfam family "Bacterial small subunit ribosomal RNA", at positions 118 to 351 of the family's 1533-position model. The record is from RNAcentral.